GACCCCCUGGCGCAAUGGUAGCGCACCACAUGGAUGUUGGUCUGCCAGCCUGCGAGUUACCCUCCUGGCAUUGCAGAUCAAGAUGUGGAGAUCCAGGUUCGAGUCCUGGGGAGAUCA
Non-coding RNA from Didymella keratinophila, 117 nucleotides. The record is from the annotation of a GenBank genome assembly. NCBI's taxonomy places the organism in Eukaryota, Fungi, Ascomycota, Dothideomycetes, Pleosporales, Didymellaceae.